Molecule: long non-coding RNA, 269 nt
Organism: Perca fluviatilis (European perch)
Lineage: Eukaryota; Metazoa; Chordata; Actinopteri; Perciformes; Percidae
Exons: 3
Source: RefSeq, a predicted model, not a curated record
CUUGACUUCCUUCUUCCAAUUUCCUGGAGAUCUAUGAAGAGAAGCCAUGAAAACACACGGCAGCUCUUCAGGACUCCAGCUGAGACGGCAGCUGAUUUCUUUCUCCAGAAAGCAGGCCAUACAUUACAAGGCUUGAGAGAUAGAAGAUGACUGCCAGGGGGAGCCAGGCAUUGUGAAAAUGACAAUGCUAUACAAAUAAUUUAUUAUAAAUAAUAAAUGUAAUAAACUCUUUUUACAUUUAUUAUUAUAAACAAAUAAUUUAACUCUAA